CUUCACCAGGUUCUAGUCUGGAUAAUUAGACUGGCUAUCUCAUUUUGCAGGAGAAUCAGAAAUAAUGGAACCCAGGAAGAGCAAGAUUUUUUGGAUUAGGCAUUGCAAGUAAUUCCCCAACCUAGGAAAAAGUGCUGCUCCAGCAGAAUGUUCAUAUGUUGGAUUCGUUUGUAAGUCUCACAGUACUAAUAAAUGCUGAAGGAUGCGAAGGAGCUGUUGGAACGGAAGACCCCUGGCCAGUGUAGCAUACGGCAGGGAGAAUGGAUAUGGCAUUGCAGAAGAUGAUAGUUCAUGUCCUUGGAGUCUUUUGGCGAUAGACUUGGGAGGAAUGCUGGCAUCCAGUUUUUUCCCUUUUUUGGCAAGUCUCUGUGGAGGAUCAGAUAAUAAAGUGCCAGAUGUCUACUGAGAUGCCUUAGAUGUCACUGCAGAAAAGCUUCUAGAGAUUCCAGAUUUCAUACCCCGGCAAAACAGGAAGACUCAGCAGUUCGUUACCAC
RNAcentral lists this long non-coding RNA (495 nucleotides) under Chinchilla lanigera (long-tailed chinchilla). RNAcentral's name for it is "lncRNA (ENSCLAG00000027652.1)". Lineage: Eukaryota; Metazoa; Chordata; Mammalia; Rodentia; Chinchillidae. The record is from RNAcentral.